Molecule: non-coding RNA, 411 nt
Filed under: Helianthus annuus (common sunflower)
Lineage: Eukaryota; Viridiplantae; Streptophyta; Magnoliopsida; Asterales; Asteraceae
Description: Group I catalytic intron
Rfam family: Group I catalytic intron
About the family: Group I catalytic introns are large self-splicing ribozymes. They catalyse their own excision from mRNA, tRNA and rRNA precursors in a wide range of organisms. The core secondary structure consists of 9 paired regions (P1-P9).
Source: RNAcentral
CUACGGACUUAAUUGGAUUGAGCCUUGGUAUGGAAACUUACUAAGUGAUAACUUUCAAAUUCAGAGAAACCCUGGAAUUAAUAAAAAUGGGCAAUCCUGAGCCAAAUCACGUUUUCCGAAAACAAACAAAGGUUCAGAAAGCGAAAAUAAAAAAGGAUAGGUGCAGAGACUCGAUGGAAGCUGUUCUAACGAAUGGAGUUGAUUGUCUUACAUUGGUAGAGGAAUCCUUCUAUCGAAACUUCAGAAAAGAGGAAGGAUAAACCUGUAUACAUAGAAGAAUUGGUAUGAAUCGAUUCCAUAAUCAAAUAUUCAUUGAUCAAAGCAUUCACGCAUAAUCUGAUAGAUCUUUUGAAUAACUGAUGAAAUCGGACGAGAAUAAAGAUAGAGUCCCGUUCUACAUGUCAAUACCGG